Long non-coding RNA from Branchiostoma floridae (Florida lancelet), 385 nucleotides. RefSeq lists it as uncharacterized. The record is from RefSeq and is a predicted model, not a curated record. The transcript is spliced from 3 exons. Lineage: Eukaryota; Metazoa; Chordata; Leptocardii; Amphioxiformes; Branchiostomatidae.
ACACUCUGGGAACGAGACUGAUUGUGGCAGUAAAGUAGGUGCAGGUCAGAGGGGAAAGGUCAUCACAAGGUGACGCGGAAGGUCUGUGGUCGAAACUUCCAGAGCUGCUGCUACAGUUUCAAAUUUUGGGGCUUAAAAGUUGCGCAUUUGGUUCAAAGUUGUCUAAGAUGGCCAGUCUUGGAUCUGCCCUGCGUCUUGUCGCCGCCCGCGGUCUUGUGGCCAGCAGAAGUCUUACGGCCGGACAAGGACGUCUGCUGCACACUGCCAGGAGAAAACUUGCUGGUGACGCCUCCAGUGCCCGCCAGGCCGUGGCAGACCAGGCACACAUCGGCUCCAUCCGAGACAAAGUCAAGGCCACGUGACAGCCUGGCAUGACGCUUAUCAU